UGGGGAAUUUUGGACAAUGGGCGAAAGCCUGAUCCAGCAAUGCCGCGUGCAGGAAGAAGGCCUUCGGGUUGUAAACUGCUUUUGUACGGAACGAAACGGUCUGCUCUAAUACAGCGGGCUAAUGACGGUACCGUAAGAAUAAGCACCGGCUAACUACGUGCCAGCAGCCGCGGUAAUACGUAGGGUGCGAGCGUUAAUCGGAAUUACUGGGCGUAAAGCGUGCGCAGGCGGUGAUGUAAGACAGUUGUGA
This 250-nucleotide ribosomal RNA is filed under the name uncultured bacterium. RNAcentral's name for it is "partial 16S ribosomal RNA". It matches the Rfam family "Bacterial small subunit ribosomal RNA", at positions 355 to 597 of the family's 1533-position model. The record is from RNAcentral.